UACGUAGGGGCCUAGCGUUGUCCGGAAUUAUUGGGCGUAAAGAGCUCGUAGGCGGUUCGGCAAGUCGGAUGUGAAAUCUCCACGCUUAACGUGGAGGGGCCAUUCGAAACUGCUGUGACUCGAGUCCGGUAGGGGAGUGUGGAAUUCCCGGUGUAGCGGUGAAGUGCGCAGAUAUCGGGAGGAACACCAGUAGCGAAGGCGGCACUCUGGGCCGGUACUGACGCUGAGGAGCGAAAGCGUGGGGAGCGAACAGG
This 254-nucleotide ribosomal RNA is filed under the name uncultured bacterium. Its description in RNAcentral is "partial 16S ribosomal RNA". It matches the Rfam family "Bacterial small subunit ribosomal RNA", at positions 524 to 776 of the family's 1533-position model. The record is from RNAcentral.